GGAUUGGGAGGGUUCUACGGAACCCGUUUGGUGAAUCUAGUGCCGAGAAAAGCCUUCUAUGUGUUGAAUUUCUAGUACCCGUACCCCAAACCGACACAGGUGGGUGGGUAGAGCAUACCUAGGGGCGCGUGAUAACUCUCUCUAAGGAACUCGGCAAAAUGGCCCUGUAACUUCGGGAUAAGGGGUGCCUGCGUGAGCAGGCCGCAGUGAAAUGGCUCUGGCGACUGUUUACCAAAAACACAGGUCUCUGCUAAGUCGUAAGACGAUGUAUAGGGGCUGACUCCUGCCCAGUGCCGGAAGGUUAAGGAAGUUGGUUAGCGCAAGCGAAGCUGGCGACCGAAGCCCCGGUGAACGGCGGCCGUAACUAUAACGGUCCUAAGGUAGCGAAAUUCCUUGUCGGGUAAGUUCCGACCCGCACGAAAGGAGUAACGAUCAGAGCGCUGUCUCGGAGAGAGACACGGCGAAAUAGGAUUGUCCGUGAAGAUACGGACUACCUGCACCCGGACAGAAAGACCCUAUGAAGCUUUACUGUAACUUGGAAUUGUGUUCGGACUUUGUCUGCGCAGAAUAGGUGGGAGGCUAUGAAACGUUCCUCGCGGGGAACUGGAGCCAUCGUUGAGAUACCACUCUGGCAGAGUCUGGAUUCUAACCUACGGGGACAGUUCCAGGUGGGCAGUUUGACUGGGGCGGUCGCCUCCUAAAAUGUAACGGAGGCGCGCAAAGGUUCCCUCAGGCUGGUUGGAAAUCAGCCGUAGAGUGUAAAGCAUAAGGGAGCUUGACUGUGAGACCUACAAGUCGAGCAGGGACGAAAGUCGGCUUUAGUGAUCCGACGGCACUGAGUGGAAGGGCCGUCGCUCAACGGAUAAGAGUUACUCUAGGGAUAACAGGCUGAUCUCCCCCAAGAGUUCACAUCGACGGGGAGGUUUGGCACCUCGAUGUCGGCUCGUCGCAACCUGGGGCGGUAGUACGUCCCAAGGGUUGGGCUGUUCGCCCAUUAAAGCGGCACGUGAGCUGGGUUCAGAACGUCGUGAGACAGUUCGGUCCAUAUCCGGUGUAGGCGUAGGAGCAUUGAAAGGAUCUCUCCUUAGUACGAGAGGACCGGGAGGGACGUACCUCUGGUGUACCUGUUAUCGUGCCAACGGUAAACGCAGGGUAGCCAUGUACGGAGUGGAUAACCGCUGAAAGCAUCUAAGUGGGAAGCCCACCUUAAGAUGAGUGCUCCCUUGAGGCCACGGGAAGACGACCCGUUUGAUAGGCGCUAGGUGGAAGUGCAGUAAUGCAUGCAGCCGAGGCGUACUAAUAGGCCGAUGGC
RNAcentral lists this ribosomal RNA (1312 nucleotides) under metagenome. RNAcentral describes it as "bacterial LSU rRNA". It matches the Rfam family "Bacterial large subunit ribosomal RNA", at positions 1563 to 2925 of the family's 2925-position model. The record is from RNAcentral.